RNAcentral lists this ribosomal RNA (459 nucleotides) under uncultured bacterium. Its description in RNAcentral is "partial 16S ribosomal RNA". It matches the Rfam family "Bacterial small subunit ribosomal RNA", at positions 338 to 795 of the family's 1533-position model. The record is from RNAcentral.
CCUACGGGUGGCAGCAGUGAGGAAUAUUGGUCAAUGGGCGGAAGCCUGAACCAGCCAAGUAGCGUGCGGGAUGAAGGCCCUACGGGUCGUAAACCGCUUUUGCCCGGGGAUAACACCCUCCACGUGUGGAGGUCUGCAUGUACCGUGCGAAUAAGGGCCGGCUAAUUCCGUGCCAGCAGCCGCGGUAAUACGGAAGGCCCGAGCGUUAUCCGGAUUCAUUGGGCUUAAAGGGAGCGUAGGCGGUCGUUCAAGUCAGCGGUAAAAUCGCGCGGCUCAACCGCGCCCCGCAGUUGAAACUGGGGGCCUUGAGUCCACAAAAGGCAGGCGGAAUUCGUGGUGUAGCGGUGAAAUGCAUAGAUAUCACGAGGAACCCCGAUUGCGAAGGCAGCCUGCCGGGGCGCGACUGACGCUGAGGCUAGAAGGUGCGGGUAUCGAACAGGAUUAGAUACCCUGGUAGUC